RNAcentral lists this ribosomal RNA (254 nucleotides) under uncultured bacterium. RNAcentral describes it as "partial 16S ribosomal RNA". It matches the Rfam family "Bacterial small subunit ribosomal RNA", at positions 524 to 776 of the family's 1533-position model. The record is from RNAcentral.
GACGGAGGGUGCUAGCGUUGUUCGGAAUCACUGGGCGUAAAGGGCGCGUAGGCGGCCGCCCGCGUCGGACGUGAAAGCCCGGGGCUCAACCCCGGAACGGCGUCCGAUACGGGGCGGCUCGAGGCCGGGAGAGGGGGGUGGAAUACCCAGUGUAGAGGUGAAAUUCGUAGAUAUUGGGUGGAACACCGGUGGCGAAAAGCGGCCCCCUGGCCCGGUCCUGACGCUGAGGCGCGAAAGCGUGGGGAGCAAACAGG